GUGCUCGCUUCGGCAGCACAUAUACUAAAAUUGGAACGAUACAGAGAAGAUUAGCAAAUUCGUGAAGCAUUCCAUAUUUUU
Tupaia belangeri (northern tree shrew) is the source of this 81-nucleotide small nuclear RNA. The record is from Ensembl. NCBI's taxonomy places the organism in Eukaryota, Metazoa, Chordata, Mammalia, Scandentia, Tupaiidae.